RNAcentral lists this ribosomal RNA (409 nucleotides) under bacterium. RNAcentral describes it as "partial 16S ribosomal RNA". It matches the Rfam family "Bacterial small subunit ribosomal RNA", at positions 355 to 776 of the family's 1533-position model. The record is from RNAcentral.
UGGGGAAUAUUGCACAAUGGGCGAAAGCCUGAUGCAGCGACGCCGCGUGAGGGAUGACGGCCUUCGGGUUGUAAACCUCUUUCAGUAGGGACGAAGCGCAAGUGAAGGUACCUGCAGAAGAAGCACCGGCUAACUAAGUGCCAGCAGCCGCGGUAAUACGUAGGGUGCGGGCGUUGUCCGGAAUUACUGGGCGUAAAGAGCUCGUAGGAGGUUUGUCACGUCGUCUGUGAAAUCCUAGGGCUUAACCCUGGACGUGCAGGCGAUACGGGCUGACUUGAGUACUACAGGGGAGACUGGAAUUUCGGGUGUGGCGGUGGAAUGCACAGAUAUCAGGAAGAACACCGAUGGCGAAGGCAGGUCUCUGGGUAGUAACUGACGCUGAGGAGCGAAAGCAUGGGUAGCGAACAGG